Molecule: ribosomal RNA, 292 nt
Filed under: uncultured bacterium
Lineage: Bacteria
Description: partial 16S ribosomal RNA
Rfam family: Bacterial small subunit ribosomal RNA
Source: RNAcentral
GUGUCAGCCGCCGCGGUAAUACGGAGGAUGCGAGCGUUAUCCGGAUUUAUUGGGUUUAAAGGGUGCGUAGGCGGAUUUGUAAGUCAGUGGUGAAAACCCGCAGCUUAACUGUGGAACUGCCAUUGAUACUGUAAGUCUUGAGUGUGGUCAAGGUAGGCGGAAUGUGUAAUGUAGCGGUGAAAUGCUUAGAUAUUACACAGAACACCGAUUGCGAAGGCAGCUUGCUGGACCAUUACUGACGCUGAUGCACGAAAGCGUGGGGAUCGAACAGGAUUAGAUACCCCUGUAGUCC